GUGAGUUUUGUGGAGUUUAAAGUUAACAAUCGCCGACAAUCAAAUUACGCGAAAGCUCUACCCAAACUCAUCCCUC
Molecule: non-coding RNA, 76 nt
Organism: Drosophila pseudoobscura pseudoobscura
Lineage: Eukaryota; Metazoa; Arthropoda; Insecta; Diptera; Drosophilidae
Source: Rfam